CCCUUAGAUGUCCCGGGCCGCACGCGCGCUACACUGAGUGUCUGAGAUACGAGUCUGCCUGGUCCGGCAAGGUCUAGGUAAUCGCUAAAAGACACAUCAUGCUUGGGAUAGAUUAUUGCAAAUAUUAAUCUUGAACGAGGAAUUCCUAGUAAGCGCAAGUCAACAGCUUGCGUUGAUUACGUCCCUGCCCUUUGUACACACCGCCCGUCGCUACUACUGAUUGGAUGUUUAAGCGAGGUUCUCGAACUGCUAGCGACUUAGCUUCGGUGAGGUCGCAGUGUGGGAAGUGAACCGAGCUUUGGUGUCUAGAGGAAGUAAAAGUCGUAACA
This 329-nucleotide ribosomal RNA is filed under the name uncultured eukaryote. RNAcentral's name for it is "partial 18S ribosomal RNA". It matches the Rfam family "Eukaryotic small subunit ribosomal RNA", at positions 1470 to 1796 of the family's 1831-position model. The record is from RNAcentral.